Molecule: ribosomal RNA, 804 nt
Filed under: Staphylococcus aureus
Lineage: Bacteria; Bacillati; Bacillota; Bacilli; Caryophanales; Staphylococcaceae
Description: partial 23S ribosomal RNA
Rfam family: Bacterial large subunit ribosomal RNA
Source: RNAcentral
GUUUCCAGAGGAAGGCUCGUCCGCUCUGGGUUAGUCGGGUCCUAAGCUGAGGCCGACAGGCGUAGGCGAUGGAUAACAGGUUGAUAUUCCUGUACCACCUAUAAUCGUUUUAAUCGAUGGGGGGACGCAGUAGGAUAGGCGAAGCGUGCGAUUGGAUUGCACGUCUAAGCAGUAAGGCUGAGUAUUAGGCAAAUCCGGUACUCGUUAAGGCUGAGCUGUGAUGGGGAGAAGACAUUGUGUCUUCGAGUCGUUGAUUUCACACUGCCGAGAAAAGCCUCUAGAUAGAAAAUAGGUGCCCGUACCGCAAACCGACACAGGUAGUCAAGAUGAGAAUUCUAAGGUGAGCGAGCGAACUCUCGUUAAGGAACUCGGCAAAAUGACCCCGUAACUUCGGGAGAAGGGGUGCUCUUUAGGGUUAACGCCCAGAAGAGCCGCAGUGAAUAGGCCCAAGCGACUGUUUAUCAAAAACACAGGUCUCUGCUAAACCGUAAGGUGAUGUAUAGGGGCUGACGCCUGCCCGGUGCUGGAAGGUUAAGAGGAGUGGUUAGCUUCUGCGAAGCUACGAAUCGAAGCCCCAGUAAACGGCGGCCGUAACUAUAACGGUCCUAAGGUAGCGAAAUUCCUUGUCGGGUAAGUUCCGACCCGCACGAAAGGCGUAACGAUUUGGGCACUGUCUCAACGAGAGACUCGGUGAAAUCAUAGUACCUGUGAAGAUGCAGGUUACCCGCGACAGGACGGAAAGACCCCGUGGAGCUUUACUGUAGCCUGAUAUUGAAAUUCGGCACAGCUUGUACAGGAUAGGUA